RNAcentral lists this ribosomal RNA (305 nucleotides) under uncultured bacterium. Its description in RNAcentral is "partial 16S ribosomal RNA". It matches the Rfam family "Bacterial small subunit ribosomal RNA", at positions 508 to 807 of the family's 1533-position model. The record is from RNAcentral.
ACAGCAGUCGCCGCGGUAAUACGGAGGGGGCUAGCGUUGUUCGGAAUUACUGGGCGUAAAGCGCACGUAGGCGGCUUUGUAAGUUAGAGGUGAAAGCCAGGAGCUCAACUCCAGAAUUGCCUUUAAGACUGCAUCGCUUGAAUCCAGGAGAGGUGAGUGGAAUUCCGAGUGUAGAGGUGAAAUUCGUAGAUAUUCGGAAGAACACCAGUGGCGAAGGCGGCUCACUGGACUGGUAUUGACGCUGAGGUGCGAAAGCGUGGGGAGCAAACAGGAUUAGAUACCCCGGUAGUCCCUGUCUCUUAUAC